GUCAUCAGUACAGGACUCUAUUUGGACUUCAUUAUUUGUUGUUGCAGCUAGAUAAGACAAGAACUGUCAGGGUCUGGAUUGAGGUGCACUACAAGAGCUGUGAGGUGUGAAGGGACAUCGGAUGCAGACUCCAUGUGCAGCGCCCCUACGAAAACCCCUUGUAUGAGGAGGCGUGGAACCAGGGCCUGGUUGGGGACAUAGCAGAGUGAUUCUGGGCUGUAGAUCAGACCUGGCCAUCUACAACACUGAAGAGGGGGGAAGCCGAGCAUCCAGCUAAAGAGGGAGAAGCCCCUCUGUCUCCCGCAACCCAGGGAUAGGAGAAUACCUGCCGGUUCUGCCUCCGCCGACAGGGAGAACUGUCUACCGCUCCCGCUUUCGC
Molecule: long non-coding RNA, 379 nt
Organism: Polyodon spathula (Mississippi paddlefish)
Lineage: Eukaryota; Metazoa; Chordata; Actinopteri; Acipenseriformes; Polyodontidae
Exons: 3
Source: RefSeq, a predicted model, not a curated record